GUCCCCGUCUCCCCGCUUGGCGGGCAGGGGGUUGUGCGCGAUGCAGUGGACGGGUACUGGGCUGAGCGCGGGACUCCCGGUUCCAUAAAGAUGUGGGGCGGGUGGGGGGAGCAAGGACGAGUGCCUGCCUGGACCCCCCUGGCUCCUGGCUCCCAAGGAGUCGAGGGGAACGUCUCUACCGCCCUGCAGAGCCAGCAGCAGGGUCUUGAAAACUCAUCAAGAACAGAAACCUUGUGUGAUAUGCUGUUGUUCCCACAGAGGGCUGGACAUAUAGAGACGGGGUUUCAUCGCAUUAGCCAGGAUGGUCUCAAUCUCCUGAACUCGUGACCCACCUGCCUCGGCCUCCCAAAGUGCUGGGACUACAGGCAUGAGCCACUGCGCCCGGCCCAGAGGUGCCACGGGUUUCAAAAGUUUACGUCCUCCAGGAAGCUGCAUGAACCACUUAGGAUGCCGAAGCGAAACACCUAAAGACUCACCCAGACUUCCUGUGAGCCUGGCUCCGGAGCACACUGGUUACUGUUCACCUACAUUCAGGACAGCUCUGAAAAAAAUAUUGAACAAAGAUUGCUUGCCAGUUCCCUCACCGGAGGUUGAAUUCCAAAGGUUAUUUUCUUUAAGCCUUAAUCUCAAUCUUUUGAAGUCAAAUCCUUCCCAAGAUGGGUCCUCACAAAGUCCUAAGAACUGAACAAUGUGUCAUUAUGACACUUGCAGUAAUUUGCAAAUAGCAUUAGGGAAUUCAAGUAUUUGUAAGUCACUUCGCCUGGGUCAGCCAUGCCGUAAUCAAGAAAACUACAGUUCUAGGUUAAGGUUGGAGCAUUAGGUUGACCUAAUGCAAACAAUGAACAAUACGAGUAAAACUUUCUCUUUUUUCCUGAGAAAUAGUUAAUGUCACAAGUACAGUGCUUUCAUGUGACUACCACUAGUGUGGAAAGUGGGCCAUCAUUCAUUUAUCACCCUAAGGAGAUGAGAGAUUCUAGUGCUCAGAGCUACGCACCUGGGGAAGCCUUGGAAGUGGCUGGUGCCUGUUCCACAGCAGGUGUCCAGUUAAGUGUUAUCUCUCUUCUUCCUUCUCUUUUUUGUUUCUCCCUUCCCUCCCAUCCCCCAAAACACUGCCCCAGAGGAAAAGAUCCCCAAGUUACUGAAACUAGUGUAAUGAGUUAUUCCCACAGCUAUUCUCCUAUUGUUCUUCUUGAAAUCAUCAGCCCUGUGAUUAGCUUACUGCCUAAUUCGUUUAAUUAAUUACUAUAUGACAAGAUGUGUUAUCACAAAUACACACACGCACACACACACAUCUUUUAAAAAAUUUUUUUUAGGUUCAGGGGGACAUGUGAAGGUUUGUUACAUAGGUAAACCCGUGUCACAGGGGUUUGUUGGACAGAGUUUUGUCACCCAGGUAUUAAGCCCAGUACCCAAUAGUUACCUUUUCUGCUCCUCUCCCUCCUCCCACCCUCCACCCUCAAGUAGACCCCAGUGUCUGUUGUUUCCUUCUUUGUGUUCAUAAGUUCUUAUCAUUUAACUCCAACUUAUAAGUCA
Molecule: long non-coding RNA, 1533 nt
Filed under: Macaca mulatta (Rhesus monkey)
Lineage: Eukaryota; Metazoa; Chordata; Mammalia; Primates; Cercopithecidae
Description: lncRNA (ENSMMUG00000063190.1)
Source: RNAcentral